GGUUAAGCGACUAAGCGUACACGGUGGAUGCCCUGGCAGUCAGAGGCGAUGAAGGGCGUGCUAAUCUGCGAUAAGCGCCGGUAAGGUGAUAUGAACCGUUAUAACCGGCGAUACCCGAAUGGGGAAACCCAGUGUGAUUCGUCACACUAUCAUUAACUGAAUCCAUAGGUUAAUGAGGCGAACCGGGGGAACUGAAACAUCUAAGUACCCCGAGGAAAAGAAAUCAACCGAGAUUCCCCCAGUAGCGGCGAGCGAACGGGGAGGAGCCCAGAGCCUGAAUCAGCAUGUGUGUUAGUGGAAGCGUCUGGAAAGGCGCGCGAUACAGGGUGACAGCCCCGUACACAAAAGCGCAUAUGCUGUGAGCUCGAUGAGUAGGGCGGGACACGUGGUAUCCUGUCUGAAUAUGGGGGGACCAUCCUCCAAGGCUAAAUACUCCUGACUGACCGAUAGUGAACCAGUACCGUGAGGGAAAGGCGAAAAGAACCCCGGCGAGGGGAGUGAAAAAGAACCUGAAACCGUGUACGUACAAGCAGUGGGAGCCCCACCACUAAGCCAGUGGUGAACUCCACAUACGCAUCCUUUGCUGAGGAUACGGUUAACGGAGCGAAAGCGACGUUCAACC
Molecule: ribosomal RNA, 622 nt
Filed under: Salmonella enterica
Lineage: Bacteria; Pseudomonadati; Pseudomonadota; Gammaproteobacteria; Enterobacterales; Enterobacteriaceae
Also listed under: 1 other name
Description: partial 23S ribosomal RNA
Rfam family: Bacterial large subunit ribosomal RNA
Source: RNAcentral